This 484-nucleotide ribosomal RNA is filed under the name uncultured bacterium. RNAcentral describes it as "partial 16S ribosomal RNA". It matches the Rfam family "Bacterial small subunit ribosomal RNA", at positions 29 to 507 of the family's 1533-position model. The record is from RNAcentral.
AUUGAACGCUGGCGGCAUGCUUUACACAUGCAAGUCGAACGGCAGCGCGGGCUUCGGCCUGGCGGCGAGUGGCGAACGGGUGAGUAAUACAUCGGAACGUGCCCUGUAGUGGGGGAUAGCUCGACGAAAGCCGGAUUAAUACCGCAUACGACCUGAGGGUGAAAGCGAGGGAUCUUCGGACCAAGCGCUAUUGGAGCGGCCGAAGGCAGAUUAGCUAGUUGGUGGGGUAAAGGCCUACCAAGGCGACGAUCUGUAGCUGGUCUGAGAGGACGACCAGCCACACUGGGACUGAGACACGGCCCAGACUCCUACGGGAGGCAGCAGUGGGGAAUUUUGGACAAUGGGCGAAAGCCUGAUCCAGCAAUGCCGCGUGUGUGAUGAAGGCCUUCGGGUUGUAAAGCACUUUUGGCGGGAACGAAAAGGACUGUGCCAAUACCACGGUUCGAUGACGGUACCCGCAGAAUAAGCAACGGCUAACUACGUG